AGCUUUGCGUAGUGGCAGUAUCGUAGCCAAUGAGGUUUAUACGAGGCGCGAUUAUUGCUAAUUGGAGCUGUUCUUAGAAUUGAGUAUUAUUAUAGAUGGUUUCCUAUUUCUUCAUCAUCAUUAUCAU
This 127-nucleotide small nuclear RNA is filed under the name Zalophus californianus (California sea lion). RNAcentral describes it as "U4 spliceosomal RNA (ENSZCAG00015013070.1)". The stretch from base 1 to 66 matches the Rfam family "U4 spliceosomal RNA". From Rfam's summary of the family: U4 small nuclear RNA (U4 snRNA) is a component of the major U2-dependent spliceosome. The structure of U4 snRNA from yeast and human has been reported. U4 snRNA presents a k-turn RNA motif in the 5p-SL related to recognition of Snu13 protein. Lineage: Eukaryota; Metazoa; Chordata; Mammalia; Carnivora; Otariidae. The record is from RNAcentral.